This 539-nucleotide long non-coding RNA is filed under the name Danio rerio (zebrafish). RNAcentral's name for it is "si:ch211-136m20.3 (ENSDARG00000101872.2)". The record is from RNAcentral. Lineage: Eukaryota; Metazoa; Chordata; Actinopteri; Cypriniformes; Danionidae.
UGGAGUUGGACCCUGCAGACGCACACUUAAUUGCACAGCAUUACUUGCACAGAUCAGCAUCAUCUCUUCUCUGGCAUCACUGUGUUGAAAUGCUGAUGGCUUUAAGUUAUGGUAGUCAGCCUAAUCUGCUUUCACAGCAGUACCCUCCUCCCCCUCUACUACCAAAACCAGGGCGAGACAAUGCCCGCCUGCAGAAACUCCUGAAGAAAAGUGCCAAGAAGAAAGUGGGCUCCUCCUCACAGACACCAAUCCCGUUCCGGUCGAGUCUAUCACCGGUAAACGAGGCCAGCCCUGACCUGGAGCACAGCGAGCACUCCACCCCACCAAGGACUCCAGAAACUCCUCUCUUCAGCAGGACUUACGAAUCUCAAUAUUCCUCCAACAGCUCUUUCUAUGGCCACUCCCCCUCUCCAUACUUAUACCCAGCCAGCAGCUCACACUACAGCUCCACGCCCACACUGUCGGCGCAGAUGCACUCUUACCCAGCCCGAUCACAUGAGCACCAGAUAGCACCUCUUUACACAUGCUCCUCUAUGCUU